GGAGGCUGUCCUUGCUGUCAACCCUGCUCUGACUCUAGUGACUCGUGGAGCUGGAACUUUGUGUCUGUGUUUGUGGAGUGGCGGUGUAGGAAUUUGAGGCUGCGCUCAGCUCAGUGUGUGUGUGUAUGAGUGUGUGUGUGUCUGAGUGUCAGCACAGGCAGUCUGAAGUCAUUGGCUCACAGGCCAGAGCAGGCAGGCUGGAACAAAAAAAACAGGGUUCAGAAAAAACACUUGAGUGUGUGUGAGCAGCGUAGUAUCUGGGAUAUCUAGAGUACAGCAAAACGUAAAGAGGAGAGAAGAGCUGUUGCAUCUUCAGCUCAGUUCUGUGAGGAAGUAAAUGAGUUGAACGAUAAACUCUAGUCUCUGAAGGGAUUCUACAUGACUACUCUGUGUCGGGAUGAGUUAACUUACUCCUGUUCAAGUUUUCUCUGUGUGGUGUCGACGUAGCAGAUGGCCUCGUAAGGUAACAACGGUGGUCCCUAACUAGCCCCAGAGGGAUAUCCAAAGUCAACCUAAAUUUACCACAGGCGUUACGAUCCGGUCACCUGGAGCUGCAGUCCGAAUUGAUGACUACUUGUGUGCUGCCAGCUGUGGACAUGUAGGCAGGAUUGAAAUAAACAUUAAUUUACGUUGUGAUGGAGUCACGACCACAAGACAAGACUGACUUUAUGACCAAACUUAUCCUAUUUACACUUUGUAGUCCCUUUUUGACAGUAGAAUAAAUGUUUCUGACUCAUAUCGAUACCACGUAGGUUGUUUUCUAAAUGAGAAGUUGUUUUUUUAGGGGCUCUAUAAUCAGUCUGGGACUGGGUUGUUCUUGCUAUAGUAAACAUUAGUGAUAGCUUGGCUCUAGUCUGGGUGUCCCACAAAACAACUUAAAUGUCAAGUUAGUUUAACGUUUGGAUUGAACUUCAAAGUCCCCCACUCCUGCCAUGUAAGAGGUUCUAGACACACCGUGAGAAACAGCCUUCGAAUGGCGGCAUGUCUGUGAUCUGAAUAGCAGUGUGUGUGUGUGUGUGUGUGUGUGUGUGUGUGUGUGUGUGUGUGUGUGUGUGUGUGUGUGUGUGUGUGUGUAUGUGUGUGUGUGUGUGUGUGUGUGUGUGUAGAUGUGUGUGCCUAAAAACUAGAUGUCUAAAUUGCUAUUUGAAUGACAGAGUGUCUGUGCGACAGUCCAGUGUUUUCAUCAGUGAUGAUGAUGAUGAUGUACUUCAGAGAGCACUGGUGAAGGAUGCGGCCUACGGUUUAGUACCAAGAGACGAGUUGCCAUGGCAAUUGAUAAUAGUUACGGUGAAUGAGAGUGAUAAUCUAAAUUGCUGUCAUUCGUUUUACCAGCCAGGAAGAUGUUCAAUAACGCUUCACUGUUAGAGGAGGUAAAUGAGUUGAACAAUAACGCUUUACUAUUGGAGGAGGUAAAUGAGUUGAACGAUAACGCUUUACUAUUGGAGGAGGUAAAUGAGUUGAACAAUAACGCUUUACUAUUGGAGGAGGUAAAUGAGUUGAACAAUAACGCUUUACUAUUGGAGGAGGUAAAUGAGUUGAACGAUAACGCUUUACUAUUGGAGGAGGUAAAUGAGUUGAACGAUAAUGCUUUACUAUUAGAGGAGGUAAAUGAGUUGAACAAUAACGCUUUACUAUUGGAGGAGGUAAAUGAGUUGAACAAUAACGCUUUACUAUUGGAGGAGGUAAAUGAGUUGAACGAUAACGCUUUACUAUUGGAGGAGGUAAAUGAGUUGAACAAUAACGCUUUACUAUUGGAGGAGGUAAAUGAGUUGAACGAUAACGCUUCACUGUUAGAGGAGGUAAAUGAGUUGAACAAUAACGCUUUACUAUUGGAGGAGGUAAAUGAGUUGAACGAUAACGCUUUACUAUUGGAGGAGGUAAAUGAGUUGAACAAUAACGCUUUACUAUUGGAGGAGGUAAAUGAGUUGAACGAUAACGCUUUACUAUUGGAGGAGGUAAAUGAGUUGAACGAUAAUGCUUUACUAUUGGAGGAGGUAAAUGAGUUGAACGAUAAUGCUUUACUAUUAGAGGAGGUAAAUGAGUUGUACGAUAAUGAUGAAGUGCCUAAUAAACCUCUAGUCAGUAUGACUGUAAACAGAAGUAUGACAGUGUGACUGCUGCCUCGUACCCCACACAGAAUCAGAGUGCUGCUGUUGCUGUUUAAUAGCUUUGAAAACACACCACUCUUUCCCCAGUUUACCACACCACUCUUUCCCCCGUUUACCACACCACUCUUUCCCCCGUUUGCCACACCACCAGUUACUUCAUCUCAGCACAGCUGCUAUCAGCAGGUUUUAUUUUCUGCAGUCUGUUUGUCAUUAAACACUGUCUGUCUGUCUGUCUGUCUGUCUGUCUGUCUGUCUGUCUGUCUGUCUGUCUGUCUGUCUGUCUGUCUGUCUGUCUGUCUGUCUGUCUGUCUGUCUGUCUGUCUGUCUGUCUGUCUGUCUGUCUGUCUGUCUGUCUGUCUGUCUGUCUGUCUGUCUGUCUGUCUGUCUGCACACAACCCAUCAUGUUCAUGUUUGAAUGUACAGUAUACAUAGUCUGACAGAAAGUCUGCUUCUCGUCACUGCCAGUAUAGCAGCACAGCCCCCUGACACUGUGUUAUUGUUAGUAAAGGUCUCUACUGUUGCUCAUGUACAGAUGUUAAAGACUUCCUAGACUACAUCACCAUUAUCGUCAGCUAGACGUAAAAACACAUCACCACUGGACCGUGUGACUGCCAGCUUCUAACCAUAACAUAACAUUUCUUACUCUCUCUCUCUGUCUCUCUCUCUCUCUCUCUCUCUCUGUCUCUCUCUCUCUCUCUCUCUCUG
Non-coding RNA from Salmo salar (Atlantic salmon), 2813 nucleotides. The record is from RefSeq and is a predicted model, not a curated record. Lineage: Eukaryota; Metazoa; Chordata; Actinopteri; Salmoniformes; Salmonidae.